This 893-nucleotide ribosomal RNA is filed under the name Rhizoctonia globularis. RNAcentral describes it as "LSU rRNA". It matches the Rfam family "Eukaryotic large subunit ribosomal RNA", at positions 39 to 922 of the family's 3401-position model. Lineage: Eukaryota; Fungi; Basidiomycota; Agaricomycetes; Cantharellales; Ceratobasidiaceae. The record is from RNAcentral.
CAUAUCAAUAAGCGGAGGAAAAGAAACUAACAAGGAUUCCCCUAGUAACGGCGAGUGAAGCGGGAAAAGCUCAAAUUUAAAAUCUGGCGGUCUACGGCCGUCCGAGUUGUAAUCUAGAGAGGUGUUUUCCGUGCCGGACCGUGUAAAAGUCCCUUGGAACAGGGCGUCAUAGAGGGUGAGAAUCCCGUCCAUGACACGGACUACCGGUGCUCUGUGAUACACCUUCAAAGAGUCGAGUUGUUUGGGAAUGCAGCUCAAAAUGGGUGGUAAAUUCCAUCUAAAGCUAAAUAUAGGCGAGAGACCGAUAGCGAACAAGUACCGUGAGGGAAAGAUGAAAAGAACUUUGGAAAGAGAGUUAAACAGUACGUGAAAUUGUUGAAAGGGAAACACUUGAAGUCAGUCGCGUCUGCUGGGACUCAACCUUGCUUUUGCCUGGUGUACUUCUCAGUAGAUGGGCCAGCAUCAAUUUCGGGCGCCGGAAAAGGAUUUGAGGAAUGUGGCAGCUUGCUGUGUUAUAGCCUCUUGUCGUACACGGUGCUUGGGAUUGAGGACUGCAGCACGCCUUUUGGUCGGGGUUCUCCCACGCCACGUGCUUAGGAUGCUGGCGUAAUGGCUUUAAAUGACCCGUCUUGAAACACGGACCAAGGAGUCUAACAUGCCUGCGAGUGUUUGGGUGCAAAACCCAGGCGCGUAAUGAAAGUGAAAAGUUGGGACUCUUUAGUGAGGCACCGACGCCCGAUCCUGAAGUCUUCUGACGGAUUUGAGGCAGAGCAUGUAUGUUGGGACCCGAAAGAUGGUGAACUAUGCCUGAAUAGGGCGAAGCCAGAGGAAACUCUGGUGGAGGCUCGUAGCGAUUCUGACGUGCAAAUCGAUCGUCAAAUUUGGGUAUAGGG